Molecule: non-coding RNA, 206 nt
Organism: Oryza barthii
Lineage: Eukaryota; Viridiplantae; Streptophyta; Magnoliopsida; Poales; Poaceae
Source: Rfam
AAGAAGGCAAACCCUGAUUUUCGUGUCCAACGUUUAACCGUCCGUCUUAUUUGAAAAAUUUAUGAAAAAAAUUAAAAAUACAAGUCACGCAUAAAAUAUUAAUUAUGUUUUAUCAUCUAACAACAAUGAAAAUACGAAUUAUAAAAAAAACUCAUAUAAAACGGACAGUCAAAGUUGGACACGGAAACUCAGGGUAUGCUUUUUUU